This 1313-nucleotide long non-coding RNA is filed under the name Helianthus annuus (common sunflower). RNAcentral describes it as "hypothetical non coding rna". The record is from RNAcentral. Lineage: Eukaryota; Viridiplantae; Streptophyta; Magnoliopsida; Asterales; Asteraceae.
UUUCAACAAACAAAAUUUCAUUUCUUUCUUUCCUUCUUUGAUGCUCUCGGCCGAAUACCAUAGCCCACCCACCAACACUUUCAAUUUUCCAUCUUGCCAUCCCACAUACAUAUCAAGGUGCUAGAGUUCAUAUAAGGAGACCCGGUGCUUACGGAUUGCCAAGGACCUCCCCACAACGCUAUUAACCACCUACUUUUUCGUCUAGUUUCUUCCCUAGCCUCGAGCUAGUAGGGAACGGAUCGUCAUCUAACCACGCUAGGUCAUGUUCAUGGAACAUGAACUAGCACUAUGUUUAGUGUUACGACGUUAAUUAAGCAAAUCCGAUGAAGUUUACGAUGCAAGGAACGCAAAGUUGUGAGUUCAUGCUCCCCCUUUUCUCUUAACUGUUUUCAGUUUUAUAACUUCGGGGGUGAAAUACAUGUUACAAAUAUUUUUAUGUUUAACAAAUGGUAUGAUAAUAAAAAGCACACUUGGUGAGAACGAGUAACAAGUGUGUAGCGAUAUAAGAAUACAAGAAACACACUUGGUGAGAAACGAGUACCAAGUGUGAUGUGAUAUAAGAAUACGGGAAGCGCGCUUGGUGAGAAACGAGUACCAAGUAGGAUGCGCUAUGAAAAAUGAUGCGAGGAAUCGUGUCACGAAUAGGGUACAGAAGCACCAUUAAUCAACAAUAUACCUAGACCGCAGAACAAAAGGUUAGAUCUAACGGGUGCCGGGCAGCCACACUCUCGGUGAGGGCGAGUACCGAGUAGUGCUUUUGUGUCUCAGAAUAUACCAAUUAAAUGCCUAAGGUUUGGUGACUUCCUAUGUCGUGUCACAUGUUAAUGGCUUUGCAACCCAUUAACAAUCCUGAUACUUACAGGAAUACCUUAUUUACAUAAAAUUUCAUACCAUACUAAAACUUGAUGAAUACUUGAGUACGUGGGGUACUCAAGAAAAUGGGAAUUAUACUUGAGUACGUAGGGUACUCAAGAAGAAUUUGAAUUAUACAUGAGUACGUGGUGUACACAUGAAACUGGAUUUAUAUAUAUGAAAACUUGAUUUAUUCACAAACUAUGUUUCCAUACAAAGUAUACAAACGUGAAAUACAAAACUGCAUGAAUUCACACCAACAUUUUGUUGACGUUUUUUCCAAAACUCACAUGUAUUUCAGGUAACUAGGAUGGAUGUGCGCGUGGUCUUACUUAUGCUCUUGGAUGUCGCUUAUGUUUAUCUUUAAAUAAAGUUGUAAACUUUUAAGACAAUGUUUUAUGUGACCUAGCGAUGUAAACGCUAAGCGUAUGUUUCAAAUUAUGGUAUUUGAAGUUAUUUUC